CGAAAGCCUGACGGAGCAAUACCGCGUGAGGGAAGACUGCCUAUGGGUUGUAAACCUCUUUUUUCAGGGAGGAAUAAAAUGACGUGUACCUGAAGAAUAAGCAUCGGCUAACUCCGUGCCAGCAGCCGCGGUAAGACGGAGGAUGCAAGUGUUAUCCGGAAUCACUGGGCGUAAAGCGUCUGUAGGUGGUUUAAUAAGUCAACUGUUAAAUCUUGAGGCUCAACUUCAAAAUCGCAGUCGAAACUAUUAGACUAGAGUAUAGUAGAGGUAAAGGGAAUUUCCAGUGGAGCGGUGAAAUGCGUAGAUAUUGGAAAGAACACCGAUGGCGAAAGCACUUUACUGGGCUAUUACUAACACUCAGAGACGAAAGCUAGGGUAGCA
Molecule: ribosomal RNA, 381 nt
Filed under: uncultured cyanobacterium
Lineage: Bacteria; Bacillati; Cyanobacteriota
Description: bacterial SSU rRNA
Rfam family: Bacterial small subunit ribosomal RNA
Source: RNAcentral